UGACGUCAAAUCAUCAUGCCCCUUAUGACCUGGGCUACAAACGUGAUACAAUGGCUGAAACAAAGGGCAGCGAAGCAGUGAUGUGGAGCGAAACCCAAAAAAGCAGUCUCAGUUCGGAUUGAAGUCUGCAACUCGACUUCAUGAAGUCGGAAUCGCUAGUAAUCGCGGAUCAGAACGCCGCGGUGAAUACGUUCUCGGGGUUUGUACACACCGCCCGUCAAACCACGAAAGUUUAUAAUACCCAAAGCCGGUGGCCUAACCGUAAGGAGGGAGCCGUCUAAGGUAGGAUCAAUGAUUGGGGUUAAGUCGUAACAAGGUAUCCCUACGGGAACGUGGGGAUGGAUCACCUCCUUUCUAAGGAGA
RNAcentral lists this ribosomal RNA (363 nucleotides) under Firmicutes bacterium HGW-Firmicutes-18. RNAcentral describes it as "bacterial SSU rRNA". It matches the Rfam family "Bacterial small subunit ribosomal RNA", at positions 1180 to 1533 of the family's 1533-position model. Lineage: Bacteria; Bacillati; Bacillota. The record is from RNAcentral.